CCAUCAUUCAGUUGGGCGACUCUAGCGAGACUGCCGGUAAUAAACCGGAGGAAGGUGGGGAGUGACGUCAAUACAUCAUGCCCCUUAUGACCUGGGCUACACACGUGCUACAAUGGUUGGUACAACGAGUUGCGAGUCGGUAACGGCGAGCUAAUCUCUUAAAGCCAAUCUCAGUUCGGAUUGUAGGCUGCAACUCGCCUACAUGAAGUCGGAAUCGCUAGUAAUCGCGGAUCAGCACGCCGCGGUGAAUACGUUCCCGGGCCUU
Molecule: ribosomal RNA, 265 nt
Filed under: uncultured Streptococcus sp.
Lineage: Bacteria; Bacillati; Bacillota; Bacilli; Lactobacillales; Streptococcaceae
Description: partial 16S ribosomal RNA
Rfam family: Bacterial small subunit ribosomal RNA
Source: RNAcentral